UUUUUAAUUAGGUUAAGAUUUGAUUCUUCCGGCGGCCACUUCAAGAUCGGUUCAUAUCAAGGUAAUUUCAGAUCCAACUUCCAAUUAAAUCGAUUUGCCUGAGUAAAUUUGUUCUGUUCUGGUUUAAUAUUCGAUGGUUUGAUUCAUUUAUUAAUCUGAUCGCCUUAUUACAUAGAUCCAUUUUCUAUUUAAUUUGAUAUGAAAUUCGAGUAGAUUAUCAUUUGAAAUUAUAUACUGCAUAGAAAUGGAGUAUUAACUUGCAAAUAGUUGAUGCCUGUGGCAAAUUAUUGAUUUUUACUGCUUGAAUUCUUAAAUUAGGUUGAUUAUUUCAAUAAUUGAGGUUUGAUUUUGCAGUAGUAAUCUAUGAUUUAGCAAACUUAGGGUUUUUAUAAUUUCAACUAUAGGGGGUUUCCAGAUUAGGAUGUUUUCUAACUUAAGUAAGCUUAAGCUAGCUGAAUAAUAAGUAUUAGCUUCUAAUUAUUUAAUUAAGCAUGAUAAUUCUUUAUACUAACUUGUGUUUCUAUCGUAUCGUCCUCAGGCAUUUUUGCAGUCGAGAUCAACGUCGAAGCGUUUGCAAGUUCUUUGUAGAUAUUAAAGACAUUGACUCCUUGGCAAGUCGGGCCCACACAUAUGACAUAAACUGUCCGAUGUAAUUGGCAAAGUCUUCGAUUUGUUGCCUCUUGCGACAUAUUCUUUCGGCUUUUAGUGACAAGCACUCUGGUUCCCACGUGUCUUCGUCGGGACCUUUCGAACAUAUUUUUGUAAACUUUAUGUCGGAAUAUGUUUAUGGUGCUGAAGAAGACAUUUGGGAAUCUGUGCGCUUGUUGGUAAAAGCUCAAGAGUGUGUCUCUAUUGGCAACAAAUAAGAGAUUUUGUUUGCGGGUUUGGCUUGCCAAGGCGUAAGUGACUUAAAAUCUAACAUUAUUCAUCGCCGCAAUCGUGUUUGCUCCCUUAUUAUUUACCAUCUAAUGAAUUCCGAAGUUGGAUCUGCCUGGUGUUGAAUAGCAUAUCCUUCUAUUAAUGAUAUUGGUUAUGUUUCGAUUAGACUAUAUAAAUGUAAUUUUUGAGUUCAGAUUGCUUAUAGGUUGAUUCAUUUAUAAAUUAAUUUGAUGAGAAAUUUUGAGUCGAAUGCAGUUUGUAUUUGACGAAAGCCGGUUAAGUCGAGCUGGCCAAUGAGACUGGGUUAGAUGUUUGAUGAGGGCUGCUACAUCUAUUGUCAUGUAAGUUUUCAUAUAUAUAUAUAUAUAUAUAUAUAUAUAUAUAUAUAUAUAUAUAUAUAUAUAUAUAUAUAUAUAUAUAUAUAUAUAUAUAUAUAUAUAUAUAUAUAUUCUUGCAAAAGCCUAAUUAUGUGUUGUAUAUUUUAUGAUUUUUAGUUGAUCUAACUAGUUAAUAAAUAGCCGGUUCAGUCGAUAGAUGAAAUGCUGAGUCGAGAUGCAAGUCUGUAUCCAAUCGGUUAUCCAAGGAAUGCAUCAAAAUCAACCCGGAAGAUAUGCAAAGUCAAAUUCGAUGAUGCGUAUGCUCGACUUCAUUAUCAUGUAUGCGUGUGUUUGUGCUGGGUUUGUAAAACCAGAUAUGGCUCA
This 1580-nucleotide long non-coding RNA is filed under the name Erythranthe guttata (spotted monkey flower). RNAcentral describes it as "long non-coding RNA (EGUT_LNC003920)". The record is from RNAcentral. Lineage: Eukaryota; Viridiplantae; Streptophyta; Magnoliopsida; Lamiales; Phrymaceae.